RNAcentral lists this ribosomal RNA (254 nucleotides) under uncultured bacterium. RNAcentral's name for it is "partial 16S ribosomal RNA". It matches the Rfam family "Bacterial small subunit ribosomal RNA", at positions 524 to 776 of the family's 1533-position model. The record is from RNAcentral.
UACAGAGGGCGCGAGCGUUGUCCGGAAUCACUGGGCGUAAAGGGCGCGUAGGUGGCCACUAUAAGGCCGCGGUGAAAGUUCGGGGCUCAACCCUGAAUCUGCCGCGGCGACUGUAGGGCUUGGGCACCGUAGAGGCAGAUGGAAUUCCGGGUGUAGCGGUGGAAUGCGUAGAGAUCCGGAAGAACACCGGUGGCGAAGGCGGGUCUCUGGACAGUUCCUGACGCUGAGGCACGAAGGCCAGGGGAGCAAACGGG